RNAcentral lists this ribosomal RNA (239 nucleotides) under uncultured bacterium. RNAcentral describes it as "partial 16S ribosomal RNA". It matches the Rfam family "Bacterial small subunit ribosomal RNA", at positions 118 to 353 of the family's 1533-position model. The record is from RNAcentral.
UGAGCAAUCUGCCCUUCUCUUCGGAAUAAGCGUUGGAAACGACGUCUAAUGCCGAAUACGACCUCCUUUCGCAUGAUUGGAGGUGGAAAGCUCCGGCGGAGAAGGAUGAGCUCGCGGCCUAUCAGCUAGUUGGUGUGGGUAAUGGCCCACAAGGCGACGACGGGUAGCCGGCCUGAGAGGGUGACCCGGCCACACGUGGGACUGAGACACCGGCCCAGACCUCCGUACGGGAGGNAGCG